RNAcentral lists this ribosomal RNA (253 nucleotides) under uncultured bacterium. Its description in RNAcentral is "partial 16S ribosomal RNA". It matches the Rfam family "Bacterial small subunit ribosomal RNA", at positions 524 to 776 of the family's 1533-position model. The record is from RNAcentral.
UACGUAGGGUGCGAGCGUUAUUCGGAAUUAUUGGGCGUAAAGGGCGCGUAGGCGGCUUUCUAAGUCAAAGGUGAAAUCCCUCGGCUCAACUGAGGAACUGCCUUUGAAACUGGACGGCUUGAGGCCGGGAGAGGGUAGCGGAAUUCCCAGUGUAGCGGUGAAAUGCGUAGAUACUGGGAGGAACACCGGUGGCGAAGGCGGCUACCUGGACCGGUUCUGACGCUGAGGCGCGAAAGCGUGGGUAGCAAACAGG